RNAcentral lists this unclassified non-coding RNA (380 nucleotides) under soil metagenome. RNAcentral's name for it is "partial contains 5.8S ribosomal RNA, internal transcribed spacer 2, and large subunit ribosomal RNA". The stretch from base 1 to 120 matches the Rfam family "5.8S ribosomal RNA", at positions 35 to 154 of the family's 154-position model. The record is from RNAcentral.
GAUGAAGAACGUAGCGAAACGCGAUAAGUAAUGUGAAUUGCAGAAUUCAGUGAAUCAUCGAAUCUUUGAACGCACCUUGCACCCUUUGGCAUUCUGAAGGGUAUGCUCGUUUGAGUGUCAUUGUACUCUCACACUCCCGAUCUUUGCAUUGGGAGCAGUGGACUUGGGUUUGCUGCUUCACCGUCGCUUACCUCAAAUAGGUUAGUGCAACUCUUGGUUGGACAUAGUACGGCGUGAUAAGUGUUCUUCGCCGGUGCCUCGCAAAGAGGGUGGCCGAUCGGGAUGUUGUGCUCCAAACCGUCUUCGGACAAUCUCUGACGACUUGACCUCAAAUCGAGUAAGACUACCCGCUGAACUUAAGCAUAUCAAUAAGCGGAGGA